RNAcentral lists this ribosomal RNA (484 nucleotides) under uncultured bacterium. RNAcentral's name for it is "partial 16S ribosomal RNA". It matches the Rfam family "Bacterial small subunit ribosomal RNA", at positions 30 to 507 of the family's 1533-position model. The record is from RNAcentral.
AUUGAACGCUGGCGGCAGGCCUAACACAUGCAAGUCGAGCGGAUGAAGGGAGCUUGCUCCUGGAUUCAGCGGCGGACGGGUGAGUAAUGCCUAGGAAUCUGCCUGGUAGUGGGGGAUAACGUCCGUAAACGGGCGCUAAUACCGCAUACGUCCCGAGGGAGAAAGUGGGGGAUCUUCGGACCUCACGCUAUCAGAUGAGCCUAGGUCGGUUUAGCUAGUUGGUGGGGUAAAGGCCUACCAAGGCGACGAUCCGUAACUGGUCGGAAGGGAUGAUCAGUCACACUGGAACUGAGACACGGUCCAGACUCCUGCGGGAGGCAGCAGUGGGGAAUAUUGGACAAUGGGCGAAAGCCUGAUCCAGCCAUGCCGCGUGUGUGAAGAGGGUCUUCGGAUUGUAAAGCACUUUAAGUUGGGAGGAAGGGCAGUAAGUUAAUACCUUGCUGUUUUGACGUUACCAACAGAAUAAGCACCGGCUAACUUCGUG